Molecule: ribosomal RNA, 424 nt
Filed under: uncultured bacterium
Lineage: Bacteria
Description: partial 16S ribosomal RNA
Rfam family: Bacterial small subunit ribosomal RNA
Source: RNAcentral
AAUUUUGGACAAUGGGCGCAAGCCUGAUCCAGCCAUGCCGCGUGAGCGAAGAGGGCCUUCGGGUUGCAACGCUCUUUGGGGCGGAAAGAAACCGCCCAUGCUAACACCCUGGCCGGAUGACGGUACCGUCAUAAGAAGCCCCCGCUAACUACGCGCCAGCCGCCGCGGUAAUACGGAGGGCGCGAGCGUUAAUCGGAAUUACUGGGCGUAAAGCGUGCGCAGGCGGUUGAUUAAGACAGGCGUGAAAUCCCCGGGCUUAACCUGGGAACUGCGCUUGUGACUGGUCAGCUAGAGUAGGGCAGAGGGAGGUAGAAUUCCAGGUGUAGCAGUGAAAUGCGUAGAGAUGUGGAGGAACACCGAUGGCGAAGGCAGCCCCCUGGGCCGAUACUGACGCUCAUGCACGAAAGCGUGGGUAGCAAACAGG